UGGGAACAACCUGGUUGCUAAAUAUUGUGAGUUAUAAUAUUAAUGAUGAAUAAGUUCGUGUUGAUUAAAUAUGAAUUUGAUAGUUUUAUUGUGUUGGGAUUAUUUGUUUUAUUAGAAAUCGACAUCUAUUCCGAUGAUAAUUGAUGUCUGGAGGUUAUAUUGUUCAAUCGGGUAUUAGGAAAACUUUUCGUGCCAGAGUACUAUUCAUGAGUUACUAUUCACGAGUUACUAUUCAUCAGGCUACUAUUCACUCUAGUAUUGUGCAUUCGGGUAUUUGGGUACAAUAUUAUUCCAUGAGGAGAUGUGCUAAUUUUUCAGACCGUUGGUUGAAGUUAUAUUAGUGAAUCAAUAUGGACCGCUAGUGGAAAGUUAUAAUAGUGAAUCAAUAUGGAUCGCUGGUUUAAAGUUUUAAUAGUAAAUCAGUAUGGA
RNAcentral lists this long non-coding RNA (429 nucleotides) under Panax ginseng (ginseng). RNAcentral's name for it is "long non-coding RNA (PGIN_LNC015867)". Lineage: Eukaryota; Viridiplantae; Streptophyta; Magnoliopsida; Apiales; Araliaceae. The record is from RNAcentral.